UCAGAUCCCAGCACUGGUGAGAAGAAUGGAGACACUAAAGAAACAUAAACUGUACCUGCAAAAACAGAUAAACUGAAGGCUGCAAACCCAGGAAAGCAGGACUUACUAGACAAGAAGCUGGACUCACUGGCCAAGGAACUUGCUGACAAUGUGCAGGAGAUUAACUCUGUCUUGGAGAAAAUGGGACCAGUGGGAGAGAGGUACAGGAACCAGCAUAGGUUUGAGAAAGACAAGAACUCUGAGUCUACAUGAACAUCUAGGUCUGAAACCUUGCAGUCCCAUGUAAGACCCAUAUUACAGCCAGCAACUCUUCCUUUUGAGGAGAGAGAGUUGUACAAGAAAAGAACAUCUAAUCAACAACAGCCAAGUCCUGCAUCAGCCCCUGGUGAGGUACUACAAGUCCCAGCAAAUCAACUUGACAGAGUGGAUUUCUAUGAUAACAUGGCUGACUGGUGGGAAGAUGUCAAGGAGGAGAUUAAGAAGGGGAAGAUACAACAAAUUAAGAAAUGCUGGUACACAGGCCGGGACAGGUUCCGGAGAGAAAUGAACACUAAACACAGGAGCAGUGACGGUGGGGAAAAAAAGAAACCGUAUAUGUAUACACGUCAGCUCCAAUUUCUAAAACAAAUGAUGGAACUAAGAACAACUGUUGACAACCUCCCCGAAUGUUCAUCUUAACGAGCACCGUCCACUGAAGAGGAGCCAAGACAAGUGGAGGACGGAGACCAGGAGACCAGGAGGCCUUGGGCGAAUCUUCCGUUUCACAAGGGCUGCAGCCUUCGGGGGAAACCGAUGUUAAUCAGAACGCCGUGCAGCCAAUCCCUGAGGUCAUCCCAGUAGAAGCUGCUGCACCAGUUUGCCGUUCAUCUGGCAGGCGAGGUCGACGUGUCAUGAUCUAUUCCGGUUUAGACCUUCGAGCCCAGUUGAUACUAUGGUGCUCGAAUAUCUAAACCGUAAUCGAUCUGACGGCAAGGAAGAGUUAGCUUUAAAAGGGCUAGCUCCUUCAUUGGGCCGUGUGCCAGAUAAACCGCAAACUCGGUGCCUUGCAACUUUAGCGCUGGCGAUUGAUCAAUUUGCAGGGUCUCAGGAGCCACAUUCCCUUGUCAAUUAUGUUAAAAAGUCCCGAAAUCAAAUGCUUAAUCCUGUUACCGUUCCUUCCCGUAA
Long non-coding RNA from Bufo gargarizans (Asiatic toad), 1164 nucleotides. RefSeq lists it as uncharacterized. The transcript has 4 exons. The record is from RefSeq and is a predicted model, not a curated record. NCBI's taxonomy places the organism in Eukaryota, Metazoa, Chordata, Amphibia, Anura, Bufonidae.